RNAcentral lists this small RNA (843 nucleotides) under Botryosphaeria dothidea. RNAcentral describes it as "eukaryotic LSU rRNA". It matches the Rfam family "Eukaryotic large subunit ribosomal RNA", at positions 50 to 911 of the family's 3401-position model. The record is from RNAcentral. Lineage: Eukaryota; Fungi; Ascomycota; Dothideomycetes; Botryosphaeriales; Botryosphaeriaceae.
GCGGAGGAAAAGAAACCAACAGGGAUUGCCUUAGUAACGGCGAGUGAAGCGGCAACAGCUCAAAUUUGAAAGCUGGCUCCUUUGGAGUCCGCGUUGUAAUUUGUAGAGGAUGAUUCGGCAAGGGCUCCCGCCUAAGUCUCCUGGAACGGAGCGUCAUAGAGGGUGAGAAUCCCGUAUGCGGUGGGCUGCCUAAGCCAUGUGAAUCUCCUUCGACGAGUCGAGUUGUUUGGGAAUGCAGCUCUAAAUGGGAGGUAAAUUUCUUCUAAAGCUAAAUACCGGCCAGAGACCGAUAGCGCACAAGUAGAGUGAUCGAAAGAUGAAAAGCACUUUGGAAAGAGAGUUAAAAAGUACGUGAAAUUGUUGAAAGGGAAGCGCUUGCAGCCAGACUUGUCCGCAGUUGCUCAGCCGGUCUCCUGACCGGUGUACUCUUCUGCGGCCAGGCCAGCAUCAGUUCGGGCGGUCGGAUAAAGACCUCGGGAAUGUAGCUCCUCUCGGGGAGUGUUAUAGCCCGGGGUGGAAUGCGGCCAGCCUGGACUGAGGAUCUCGCUUCGGCUAGGAUGCUGGCGUAAUGGCUGUAAGCGGCCCGUCUUGAAACACGGACCAAGGAGUCUAACAUCUAUGCGAGUGUUUGGGUGUCAAACCCAUGCGCGUAAUGAAAGUGAACGGAGGUGGGAACCCUCACGGGUGCACCAUCGACCGAUCCUGAUGUCUUCGGAUGGAUUUGAGUAAGAGCAUAGCUGUUGGGACCCGAAAGAUGGUGAACUAUGCCUGAAUAGGGUGAAGCCAGAGGAAACUCUGGUGGAGGCUCGCAGCGGUUCUGACGUGCAAAUCGAUCGUCAAAUU